Molecule: long non-coding RNA, 4004 nt
Filed under: Macaca fascicularis (crab-eating macaque)
Lineage: Eukaryota; Metazoa; Chordata; Mammalia; Primates; Cercopithecidae
Description: lncRNA (ENSMFAG00000054593.1)
Source: RNAcentral
UUUUUUUUAAGACAGGGUCUUGCUCUGUCACCAAAGCUGGAGUGCAGUGGUGCAAUCAUGGCUCACUGCAGUCUCAACCCCUUGGACUCAAGCAAAUCCUCCCACCUCAGCUCCCAGAGUAGCUGGGACUACAGGGAUGUGUCACCACAACAAGCUAAGUUUUGUAUGUUUUGUAGAGAUGGGGUUUCAUCAUGUUGCCCAGGCUGGUCUCGAACUCCAGAGCUCAAGCAAUUCACCCACCUCGGCCUCCCAAAAUGCUGGAAUUAUAGGCAUGAGACAUGGCACGAGGCUUAGGAAGUCCAAUUAUUGAACGCCCAGAAUAAUCUGAAAUUUAGGAUCCCUAGAAGAUAUCCUGACAGGAGCCUCAAAAGUGCAUGCCUCCCGCACUCUAAAUAAUAUACCUCCAUAUAUAUAUAUAUUUGGAGACAGGUCUCACUCUGUCACCCAGGCAGGAGUGCAAUAGCGCAACCAUGGCUUAAUGCAGCCUUAACCUCCUGAGCUCAAGAGACCCUCCCACCUCAGCCUCCCAAGUAUCUGGGACUGCAGGUGUGUACCAAAAUGCCUAGCUAAAUUUUUUUAUUUUCAUUUUUUUGUAGAGACAGGGUCUUGAACUCCUGGCCUUCAAAUGAUCCUCUUCUCUCGACCUCCCAAAGUGCUAGAAUUACAGGCGUGAGCCACUACGCCUGACAAUAAUACCUAAUGCUUAUACAUUAUUUCAUAGUUCAAAGCACUUUCACUUCCAUUCUCUCAAUCCUUAAUAAUGACCCCAUAAGGAGGUAUUAUCAAAUUUAUUUUAUAUAUUGAAGAAACUGAGGCUCAUAUUUUAAAUAAUUUGCUAGCCUAAGGCAAGCUGAUAUCAGCUAAAGGAGGGCUUUCAUAUUUAGUCUCUUUUGCUUCAGUGCCCAAAAGAGGCAGGAACAAGAACACCACCAUCUCCACUCCCCUGGCCUGUACAAACAAGGUGGAUCAGACCACUAUCUGCUAUUGCUUUACUGAGCUGACUACCUCUUACGUUUUUCUUGUCUCCAUAAAAAUUAGCUGCCCAGAGUAUUUUUAUUAUGUCUUAAGCAAAAAAUGAGACCGGCCCAGGGAGAAAAAUCCCCAAGACUACAAACAACCACAUUCAUAAGCUGCUGGCUCAUAUCUUUAUAUACAAAGCUAAAGAAAUAAGGGCAAAACCUGCUCCAAUGGGGAGUUGUAAACCCUACUGACCAAACAGCCCCUCAGCACUUAGGCAGGUAGUUAUACACAGCUAAUUUAGUUUGUAAUAGUUUUUGUACUUUCUUCAAUAAUUUGUACUGCCUAUUGUUUUCUCCCUACCAUUCUAAAUGCCUCAAGAGCAAAGGUCACAUCUUCUAGUUAAUUUACAACUGUUCCUAUACGAUGACCAUAUAGCACCCAAACCAAAAUUGGUUUUUCUGGCCUGGAUAUUUAUAUAAAGUAUUACCCAAAUUUAAAAAUUAAAAUACACAGGCUGGGUACAGUGGUUCAUGCCUGUAAUCCCAGCACUUGGGAGGCCAAGACAGAAGGAUCAUUUGAGACCAGGAGCUCAAGACUAGCCUGGGCAACACAGUAAGACCUUGUCUCUAUAAAAAAUAAAACAAAAUUAGUCAGGCAUGGUGGCACACACACACCUGUGGUCCCAGCUACCUGGGAGGCUGAAGUGGGAGGACAGCUUAAGCCUCAGAGGUCAAGCCUACAGGGAGCCAAGAUCACGUCACUGCACUCCAGAUGACAGAGCAGACCCUGCCUCAAAAAUUAAAAAAUAGUCUGGGUGUUGUGGCUCAUGCCUAUAAUCUCACACUUUGGGAGGCCGAGGCGGGUGGAUCACCUGAGGUCAGGAGUUUGAGACCAGCCUGGCCAACAUGGCGAAACCCCUCUCUACUAAAAAUAUAAAAAUUAGUUGGGUGUUGGUGGCGCAUGCCUAUAAUCCCAGUUGCUCAGGAGGCUGAGGCAGAAUUGCUUGAACCCGGGAAGCAGAGGUUGCGGUGAGCUGAGAUCAUACCACUGUACUGCACUCUGGGUGACAAAGCAAGACUCUGUCUUAAAAAUAAAUAAUAAAUAAAUAAAUAACAAAAAAAAAUUUUAAAGACUUUAAGUAAUUGACAUUCUUCAACUAACAUUUAUAAAAUCUACAGUUUCUAAUAAAGAAACACCAAAAGACACUUAACACCUACAAUGGUGCCAGGCAUACAUUUGAGUGGGCACUCAAUAAAGUUGUGCUGAAUGAAUGAUAACUGAGAGCUUAAAAUCCAUUAAAAACCACUUAAGGCAUAAUAAAAUAUCCAGGACAAAAGCCAAAAGAAAUGACUAGAGACUGUCAAGUUAAUUGGAAAAAUAAGAUUCUAAGGUAGUUCACUCAAAGUCAUACUUAGGGUACCACAAGUGAACACUCUGGAUUUAAGCACCACAUUGUAUCUACAGCCAGAGUGAAUGCAUUAGGGCAGUGACUUAGCACGAGGGUUCUCUCUGCUCAGACCAGCAGCAUGCAACCAGCAGCAGCUUGCCCCUUCCCCCAGUUAGUCCCCAUUACCAACGCCCUGAAGCAUAGUCACAGAACUGCAGCAGUUAAGCCAGGCAGUACUAAAAGUUAGAAGGAAAUGAGCAUGCCACCUGACCCUUUUCUGGCACAGGCUAAGCUGAUUAGUUUAGGUUAUAAACACAACUACAAGAUUCCAGUACACUGAUGAAAUGACUCUUUUCCUACAAACUAAAAAUAACCUAUUAAAACAGGAGUGCUCCUCAAGUAUUUCUGCCCUGCCAGCAACCCAAAGUUCCAUUUCCUCAAAUCCUUCAUUAGUCUAGUCUUAUUGGAUCCAAGUCUCCACACCUCCCCCAUCUUCCCCACUCUUCAUCCUAAUGCUAUGAACACAGUGAAAGACCUAAACUCCUUUCCUAACCUCAUGCUUUUAAUGUUUCUUUUCCAAUAAGCAAACGUGCAGAACUUCCAUGGCUCCUGCCUUGUGUAGAGCCACAACUGGAAGACAUGCUGAGCUGCAGCAAAGAAUAAUGAAAAACAAAGGAAAACUGAAGGACAAGAUGCAGCAUGCUCAGGAAGUCAGCUAAAUGCUUUUCAUUCAGGCAGGCAUAGGAGGAGCCUCACCUACCUAGAAUACAGCAUAAGGACAAAUAGUGUCUAGUACAGAGCUAGACUAUACUUUAUCACUUUAGAACAAAGCCAUCAAGCAUGUUCUAGAGACAGACUCAUGUCCAAAGAGCUUUAGUAUCCUAUAAGAAUCACUAGGCUGUGCCGGGCGCGCCGGGCGUGGUGGCACAUGCCUGUAAUCCCAGCUAUUCAGGAGGCUGAGGCAGGAGAAUCACUUGAACCCGGGAGGCGGAGGUUGCAGUGAGCCGAAGUCGCACCACUGCACUCCAGCCUGGGCAACAGGGCGAGACUCCAAUUGAAAAAAAAGCAUCAUUAGGCUAUCUCAGGGUUGAAGUGACAUUUUCAGGGUAAACAAACUCCCAUCAUUUAAGCCAAAUAAAUCAAGACUGAAUUGCAGACUUUCCAGUCAUACAGAGCUGAGAGAAGCUCCUACUCUCUCAGCUUCCUACUACUAGGAAGUGGAAAUUCCAAAGAAGCUAGAAAACCCUGUCCUCAGUAGCUCUCCCUGCUCUCAGGCCCUGAGGUAAGCCAGCACUUCCUUUCCAAGGUCAAAAAUUAACCAUACGCUUUGAACAUCCUUGUGCUUUGCAACAGCACCAGGAAAAUGCCACAAUGCUACGCCACCCUAUACAGACCUAAGACAUUUGCUAUUCUUGAUUAUUCCCAAGAGUAGUCACUUGGGAUACUCAUUAAUGUACUUCCUAAAGAUCCAACUUUCAAAGUAGUCUUCUCAUGCUUAUUUUUAACCUUUUACCAUCUCUUAAAAAAAAAAAAUUCAGAUGUCUUGGGGCACUGAAGAAGAAAUAAAAAAGAAAAAGAAAACAAAAAUUGGCUUAUCUAUACAAUCUACACUCUCAGAAAAAUUCCUCCUGGGAAAAAAAAAAAAAAAAAAAAAAAA